AUGAUUAAGAGUCUAUAUAUUUGCCUCACUUCCUCUCUCCUCUCUCUCUUUGCCAGCGGAGGAGUUGAGCUUGGGGUCUCUCUCUCAAUGAUGUUGGGUGUGACUAGAGGUGUGGUUCAUGGCAGCGUUUUGACAUCUUGGCGUGGGUCAGAAAAUGGGGAUAAUAAUAUCGACCUGCAAGAAUCAUAUGAGAAAUUAAGGCCUAUAAAGGUAAUGUCUCUCUCAGAGGAAGAAAAAAAAUUAAGAAGCUGA
Molecule: long non-coding RNA, 252 nt
Filed under: Monodelphis domestica (gray short-tailed opossum)
Lineage: Eukaryota; Metazoa; Chordata; Mammalia; Didelphimorphia; Didelphidae
Description: lncRNA (ENSMODG00000050356.1)
Source: RNAcentral